Azospirillum humicireducens is the source of this 74-nucleotide non-coding RNA. Lineage: Bacteria; Pseudomonadati; Pseudomonadota; Alphaproteobacteria; Rhodospirillales; Azospirillaceae. The record is from Rfam.
CUGCUUCGCCCUUCUUGGGCGUUUCCUCCCUAAACUCAAGGCCGCUGUAUUCAGCGGCCUUUUUCUUGCCAGAA